GAUUUUGAUUUUUCACAUUUUAGCGUAUUCCAACAAAUUUUGAUUGUAAUGAACUUUUACAGUUGCUCAAAAAAUGGCUAACACACUGAACAAAAUAUGCUCAAGUACAUAUGGAAACUUCUCCGAUUAAAGGUGACCAGGUGACCACCGGUGACCUGACUGACCUUUGGCGACCCAUACCAUCAUAUUGUUGUGUCAUCAUGUGUUUGUCUGUGUGCCUGUGUUAGCAAAGGUGCAUGUAAAAUAAUAAAGAUGCUCUUCGUAUUGAUUUGGGGGUCAUGCAUUCAUUAGUAAUCCUAAAGAACUCAUUAGUCGUCCCUUUUUCCUCUGCAAGACAGUGAAGAUGAUAAACAUGAACAAGGAAGAGAUGAUGCAUUUACAUGCACUUCUCCUUUAUGACUAGUGAUAUUCACCUGAUACAAAAUCAACUGAAUGCCUAGUCCCAUAGUAAAGUUAGUGUCUGAUCCCGAAGCAUCAGUUUAUGACACUGUUGGUGAACAGAUCAACAGAUAUGAUCAGAGUAAGUACAGAUUAAAGAGGUAAUCUUUGGGCCAGUUCCUGAAAUUAGUGCUAUAGUCAUCAUAAAGUGGACAAGUUAAAGGUACAUAUAGGUAUAUGUGCAGCAUCCUUCCCUUCCUCCCCUUUGUUACCUCUGGUAUAAAGGUUACCUCUGAAGACCAGCAGGUGUAAAGGUUAUACCUCCGAUAACCAGCGAUAACCAGCGCUAACUCUGUUGUACAUGUAGCUGUAAUAACAAAAUGUCCACUUGAUUAGAUUGGAAGAGUCAAAUCAGAAGAGGUAUUCACAAGGCCACAUUCUGAAAUUUGUACUAGUCAUCAUAAACAGGACAUGUUCAAGGCCUGAUUCAAAAUGUUGCCCAAAAUUAAUGAAUCAAGCCUGAUAUCAGUACUGGUGCUGCCCUGUUGACUAUCAUUGCUGAAU
RNAcentral lists this long non-coding RNA (942 nucleotides) under Amphimedon queenslandica. Its description in RNAcentral is "uncharacterized LOC109589671, transcript variant X2". The record is from RNAcentral. Lineage: Eukaryota; Metazoa; Porifera; Demospongiae; Haplosclerida; Niphatidae.